This 253-nucleotide ribosomal RNA is filed under the name uncultured bacterium. RNAcentral's name for it is "partial 16S ribosomal RNA". It matches the Rfam family "Bacterial small subunit ribosomal RNA", at positions 524 to 776 of the family's 1533-position model. The record is from RNAcentral.
UACAGAGACUGCAAGCGUUAUUCGGAUUCACUGGGCGUAAAGGGUGCGCAGGCGGCCAAGUGUGUGAGGCGUGAAAGCCCGAUGCUCAACAUCGGAAUUGCACCUCAAACUACAUGGCUAGAGCAUUGGAGAGGGUAGCGGAAUUCACGGUGUAGCAGUGAAAUGCGUAGAUACCUGGAGGAACACCGGUGGCGAAAGCGGCUCACUGGACCGUGUCUGACGCUGAGGUGCGAAAGCUAGGGUAGCGAACGGG